AGUGAACGCUGGCGGUAGGCCUAACACAUGCAAGUCGAACGGCAGCACAGUAAGAGCUUGCUCUUACGGGUGGCGAGUGGCGGACGGGUGAGGAAUACAUCGGAAUCUACUUUUUCGUGGGGGAUAACGUAGGGAAACUUACGCUAAUACCGCAUACGACUUACGGGUGAAAGCAGGGGAUCUUCGGACCUUGCGCGAUUGAAUGAGCCGAUGUCGGAUUAGCUAGUUGGCGGGGUAAAGGCCCACCAAGGCGACGAUCCGUAGCUGGUCUGAGAGGAUGAUCAGCCACACUGGAACUGAGACACGGUCCAGACUCCUACGGGAGGCAGCAGUGGGGAAUAUUGGACAAUGGGCGCAAGCCUGAUCUAGCCAUACCGCGUGGGUGAAGAAGGCCUUCGGGUUGUAAAGCCCUUUUGUUGGGAAAGAAAAGCAGCAGGUUAAUACCCCGCUGUUCUGACGGUACCCAAAGAAUAAGCACCGGCUAACUUCGUG
RNAcentral lists this ribosomal RNA (492 nucleotides) under uncultured bacterium. Its description in RNAcentral is "partial 16S ribosomal RNA". It matches the Rfam family "Bacterial small subunit ribosomal RNA", at positions 29 to 507 of the family's 1533-position model. The record is from RNAcentral.